RNAcentral lists this ribosomal RNA (82 nucleotides) under Medicago ruthenica. RNAcentral's name for it is "partial large subunit ribosomal RNA". It matches the Rfam family "Eukaryotic large subunit ribosomal RNA", at positions 1 to 81 of the family's 3401-position model. Lineage: Eukaryota; Viridiplantae; Streptophyta; Magnoliopsida; Fabales; Fabaceae. The record is from RNAcentral.
GAGACCUCAGGUCAGGCGGGGCUACCCGCUGAAUUUAAGCAUAUCAAUAAGCGGAGGAAAAGAAACUAACAAGGAUUCCCUU